AAGAAAUAUUGGACAAUGGAGGCAACUCUGAUCCAGCCAUGCCGCGUGAAGGAAUAAGGCCCUAUGGGUUGUAAACUUCUUUUAGACGGGACAAAACCCCUUUACGUGUAAAGGGUUGAUGGUACUGUCAGAAUAAGCAUCGGCUAACUUCGUGCCAGCAGCCGCGGUAAUACGAAGGAUGCAAGCGUUAUCCGGAAUUAUUGGGUUUAAAGGGUGCGUAGGCGGACUAAUAAGUCAGUGGUGAAAGCCUGCAGCUUAACUGCAGAAUUGCCAUUGAUACUGUUAGUCUUGAGUACAGUUGAGGUAGGCGGAAUGUGUCAUGUAGCGGUGAAACGCUUAGAUAUGACACAGAACACCGAUUGCGAAGGCAGCUUGCUAGGCUGUAACUGACGCUGAGGCACGAAAGCGUGGGGAGCAAACA
RNAcentral lists this ribosomal RNA (421 nucleotides) under uncultured bacterium. Its description in RNAcentral is "bacterial SSU rRNA". It matches the Rfam family "Bacterial small subunit ribosomal RNA", at positions 356 to 774 of the family's 1533-position model. The record is from RNAcentral.